Molecule: long non-coding RNA, 559 nt
Organism: Octopus sinensis (East Asian common octopus)
Lineage: Eukaryota; Metazoa; Mollusca; Cephalopoda; Octopoda; Octopodidae
Exons: 3
Source: RefSeq, a predicted model, not a curated record
AACAGAAAUACAAUAACAAGAGGUUUUAAAUAAAUUUCAUACAAUAACAUGUUUUAUGAUUGCUAUGAAACGAUCAAUAAAAGGUUAUGAAAGCCAUAAUUUGCUUUUACAUCGGCCAGAGAGCAAGGUGUUCAAUAACAUGAGUGUUGUUUGUCCGACCAAUCCCCAUAGCACUGAGAGAGUAAAAUGAACCGAGUCCCUCCACUAAACUGAAGUAGAACAGAUUAUUGUUUAUAGCAGAUGGGUGAUAAAAUUUUGAAAUAAUGGGAAUAUUUAAACAAAGCAGGAAAAGAGGAAAGCCAUAAUAUUAAUCCCCCCAUGGAGACUUGUUGGAUUAUAUGGGAUUACAGUAGAGCCAAGAAACAGGUCAGCAGUCUUUGGUGACAAGGCUCUCUCUCUCUCUUCUUUUCCUCUCUACCCGUUAUCAAUACAUUUUGUUCUUUGACUUCUGUGUGUGUGUGUGUGUGUGUGUUGUGGACAUUAUGGAGAUGUUGAAGAGGCAAUUACAAGAAUGUUUGUCUUCUGUAUGUAUGUAAAUGUGUGUGUGUGUGUGUGUGUG